UACGUAGGGGCAAGCGUUGUCCGGAAUUAUUGGGCGUAAAGCGCGUGUAGGCGGCUCGGUAAGUCUGCUGUGAAAGUCCAGGGCUCAACCCUGGAAUGCCGGUGGAUACUGUCGAGCUCGAGUCCGGAAGAGGCGAGUGGAAUUCCUGGUGUAGCGGUGAAAUGCGCAGAUAUCAGGAGGAACACCAAUGGCGAAGGCAGCUCGCUGGGACGGUACUGACGCUGAGACGCGAAGCGUG
Molecule: ribosomal RNA, 238 nt
Filed under: uncultured bacterium
Lineage: Bacteria
Description: partial 16S ribosomal RNA
Rfam family: Bacterial small subunit ribosomal RNA
Source: RNAcentral